GAUUCCACGCUUGUGUCUGACGCCAUAGCGGGGGGGCGAAGCGCCGGUCGCGGGAAAGCGAGGAGUUAACGACGCAAACAGCGGCGUCGACGGAGGAAAUGAAAGUGCGAACGAGGGUCGUGACCCCACGAGCGUGACCCUGGCGACGAGUCAACGAGGAGAAGGGAAAGACGGAGUGGACAUAUUUAUGCAGCGUUCACGUUAGACAGAGAACAGGUCGAGUCUUCCAGACAGAUACGAGUAGCUGUUGCAUUGUGGGACGCAGACACUGUUCUGCCGCGGCGGCUAAAGAGGUUCGUCUUUCUGCCCCUCGGGCAACGCUCUCUGGGAACUGCAACUGCUAAUAUUCCUGUAUUGUAUUCCAGGCCAUAGCCUGAUCCAAAAACCACAAGGGCUGGCUGAGGAUUCCCUCUGGUUUGUGUCUCUCUUUUUUCAUUCUGCGUAUCUUCGCUUCCAACGAAGACAAAGUGCACGAGAGGCGUC
This is a long non-coding RNA of Gasterosteus aculeatus aculeatus (three-spined stickleback), 483 nucleotides long. NCBI's taxonomy places the organism in Eukaryota, Metazoa, Chordata, Actinopteri, Perciformes, Gasterosteidae. The record is from Ensembl.